This 253-nucleotide ribosomal RNA is filed under the name uncultured bacterium. RNAcentral's name for it is "partial 16S ribosomal RNA". It matches the Rfam family "Bacterial small subunit ribosomal RNA", at positions 524 to 776 of the family's 1533-position model. The record is from RNAcentral.
UACGUAGGGUGCAAGCGUUAAUCGGAAUUACUGGGCGUAAAGCGUGCGCAGGCGGCUUUGCAAGACAGAUGUGAAAUCCCCGGGCUUAACCUGGGAACUGCAUUUGUGACUGCAUGGCUGGAGUGCGGCAGAGGGGGAUGGAAUUCCGCGUGUAGCAGUGAAAUGCGUAGAUAUGCGGAGGAACACCGGUGGCGAAGGCGGCGUCCUGGACCAACACUGACACUGAAAAGCGAAAGCCAGGGGAGCAAACGGG